UACAGAUCAUGAGAUGGCCAUUGCCUACUGAAAUCUUAUUUUUACUGGUCGCUUCAAAUUUUUGGGACUUGUGAUGUGAAUUUUUAAGAUCUCAUUAUAAAAGAGCUGGUAAUACCCAAAGACACUUGGCAUUUUCUGCUGGAGUUUUCAAACAGGAUUGAUGACACCAUGAGCAAUUAUGAUGAAGAUGGUCAGUAUAUACUCUAACUAUGUACAUGUACAAAUUCCUCGGUUCUUCUUUGUGUCUGAUCCAGCACUACUGGAGAUACUGGGAAAUAUAUUGGGUAUCUAAAAAAUACCCAAGGCUAU
This is a long non-coding RNA of Amphimedon queenslandica, 309 nucleotides long. RefSeq lists it as uncharacterized. The transcript has 3 exons. Lineage: Eukaryota; Metazoa; Porifera; Demospongiae; Haplosclerida; Niphatidae. The record is from RefSeq and is a predicted model, not a curated record.